AAAUAGACAAGCAUAAUUGCUGUUUCUUCAUAUCCAAACUUUUCUCUUACACCCAAAGAAACACAAUAACAAGAACAAAGAACUCUCAAAGAGAAUCUUGAUAUCGUGUCAAGAUUUCUAGCUUUUCAAAGUAUUUUUUACACUGUCAGUAUAUAUUGUUAAAUUCGACUAGAUAAUAUAACAAGCCUUAUCUGAAUAGAAAAAUUAUGAAGAACAUUAUGAAGGUUGUGCUUGUGCUUUCUAUCAUUAUGUUCAUCGUCCUAACACCUACAGCUGCUCGUGGUGCUAGCUUUGGCGGGGUUAGUCGCGGAACCAAGGCUAGUAGUGGUUCUGGUGGUGGCGGCAGUAGAACCACAACUACCACAUUCAUCCCAUUAGCUCGUGCUGCGCGAAGAAGCAACAGCUCAUCAUCAUCAACUACUACCUCCUUUGGAUGGUCUUCCAUGGCUAUAGCUUCAUUUGUUUAUCUUACAUUUCUUUAAUUAAUUUUGAGCACUUGUAUAUAGUAUUUACUUAAAAUAUCUUGUUAGCUAUCCAUUAAUGUAUGUUCUUUAUUAUUUGGUAAGCAAGUGAGCAGGGCCAGCCGAAGGGUUACGCAAGUAAGGCAUAUGUCUUAGGCUCCCCAUUUUGAGGGGAUUCAGUUUUAAAAGAAAUAUGUUAUGUGUUCAUUUUUUCUUUAAAAAAUGUAAGGAUUUAAUAGUAAAAGUUUAUCAUUUUGAAAUUGAUGUAACUAUUGAGGAAUGAAAUAGUCCUCCCGAAUAAAGUAAACAUAUCUUUAUGAUUUUCUUAAAUUUGUAUAAUCUUCAUUUUGCAUUUUUACAUUCUGACCACUAAAGCAUAAUAGUCAAUCUAAAUAUUGAUGUCUUAGACUUAUAUUUAGAAUUAAAACUGUUAAGAAAAGUUGUACAAGUAGCAGAUAAUACUCUAAUCGAUACACUUAAUUAUAUAAAUAGACUUGAUUCUUUUUCAAAUGACUAACAAUUGCCUCAAUGAAAAGAAAUUCUUCAAAAUAAAAAUAAAUAAAAUCUUACAUAAGAUCAAUAAUGUCUCAAGAAUGAUUAAAUCGAUCAUCUAUAUUAUCAAUUGAAAAAUAAUUACUAAAAAAAUCGAUUAUAAAAAAUUUGGGUCUCUAAUUGUAGAUGCGCUUUAGGCCCCCAAGUAUGUCGAGUGGCCCCUGCAAGUGAGGG
This 1187-nucleotide small RNA is filed under the name Nicotiana attenuata. RNAcentral describes it as "JAL1". The record is from RNAcentral. Lineage: Eukaryota; Viridiplantae; Streptophyta; Magnoliopsida; Solanales; Solanaceae.